Molecule: ribosomal RNA, 429 nt
Filed under: Bacteroidota bacterium
Lineage: Bacteria; Pseudomonadati; Bacteroidota
Description: Bacteroidetes bacterium partial 16S ribosomal RNA
Rfam family: Bacterial small subunit ribosomal RNA
Source: RNAcentral
UAGGGAAUCUUCGGCAAUGGGGGGAACCCUGACCGAGCAACGCCGCGUGAGUGAAGAAGGUUUUCGGAUCGUAAAGCUCUGUUGUUAAGGAAGAACGAGUGUGAGAAUGGAAAGUUCAUACUGUGACGGUACUUAACCAGAAAGGGACGGCUAACUACGUGCCAGCAGCCGCGGUAAUACGUAGGUCCCGAGCGUUGUCCGGAUUUAUUGGGCGUAAAGCGAGCGCAGGCGGUUAGAUAAGUCUGAAGUUAAAGGCAGUGGCUCAACCAUUGUAGGCUUUGGAAACUGUUUAACUUGAGUGCAGAAGGGGAGAGUGGAAUUCCAUGUGUAGCGGUGAAAUGCGUAGAUAUAUGGAGGAACACCGGUGGCGAAAGCGGCUCUCUGGUCCGUAACUGACGCUGAGGCUCGAAAGCGUGGGGAGCGAACAGG